GUGCUUGCUUUGGCAGCACAUAUACUAAAACUGGAACGAUAAAGAGAAGAUUAGCGUGGCCCCCGUGCAAGGAUGGCACGCAAAUUCGUGAAGUGUUCCAUAAAAAC
Hippopotamus amphibius kiboko is the source of this 107-nucleotide small nuclear RNA. The record is from RefSeq and is a predicted model, not a curated record. Lineage: Eukaryota; Metazoa; Chordata; Mammalia; Artiodactyla; Hippopotamidae.